UUGUCCAAAUAUCAUAAUCAAUAAAUAUUUAUACCCGUCAUUGUAGCGUGCUAAUGAUUGCAUAUCACAUAAAUCUGCUUGAAAUUGUCUCAUAGGACCUUGAACAAAAACUUUAUUUCUAGGAAAAGGUAUUCUGGCUGGUUUGUGUAAAGUAUAAGCAUCUUGAUCUGACAGAAACCCCUUCACUUUUUUAAUAUUAGUGUUUUUACAGCUAAUAGUCGCUCCUUUGUGUAAGCGUGCCUCCCCUCCGAAACUAGCUGGAUUAUUAGCUUUAUAAUAGAGCUU
Molecule: long non-coding RNA, 285 nt
Organism: Syngnathus acus (greater pipefish)
Lineage: Eukaryota; Metazoa; Chordata; Actinopteri; Syngnathiformes; Syngnathidae
Exons: 3
Source: RefSeq, a predicted model, not a curated record